UACGUAGGGGGCAAGCGUUACCCGGAUUUACUGGGCGUAAAGCGCGUGUAGGCGGCUGGCCAAGUGUGGUGUGAAAUCCCCCGGCUCAACCGGGGAACUGCAUUGCAAACUGGUCUGGCUAGAGUGCAGGAGAGGGAAGUGGAAUUCCCGGUGUAGCGGUGAAAUGCGUAGAUAUCGGGAGGAACGACCAGUGGCCGGAAGG
RNAcentral lists this ribosomal RNA (202 nucleotides) under uncultured bacterium. RNAcentral describes it as "partial 16S ribosomal RNA". It matches the Rfam family "Bacterial small subunit ribosomal RNA", at positions 524 to 721 of the family's 1533-position model. The record is from RNAcentral.